CGGCGGACGGCUGAGUAACGCGUAGGAACGUACCCCAAAGUGAGGGAUAAGCACCAGAAAUGGUGUCUAAUACCGCAUGUGGUCUUCGGAUUAAAGCUUUAUGCGCUUUGGGAACGGCCUGCGUCUGAUUAGCUUGUUGGUGAGGUAAUAGCUCACCAAGGCGACGAUCAGUAGCUGGUCUGAGAGGAUGACCAGCCAGACUGGGACUGAGAACGGCCCAG
Molecule: ribosomal RNA, 221 nt
Filed under: uncultured bacterium
Lineage: Bacteria
Description: partial 16S ribosomal RNA
Rfam family: Bacterial small subunit ribosomal RNA
Source: RNAcentral